GAUGAACGCUGGCGGCGUGCCUAAUACAUGCAAGUCGAGCGAACGGACGAGAAGCUUGCUUCUCUGAUGUUAGCGGCGGACGGGUGAGUAACACGUGGAUAACCUACCUAUAAGACUGGGAUAACUUCGGGAAACCGGAGCUAAUACCGGAUAAUAUUUUGAACCGCAUGGUUCAAAAGUGAAAGACGGUCUUGCUGUCACUUAUAGAUGGAUCCGCGCUGCAUUAGCUAGUUGGUAAGGUAACGGCUUACCAAGGCAACGAUGCAUAGCCGACCUGAGAGGGUGAGCGGCCACACUGGAACUGAGACACGGUCCAGACUCCUACGGGAGGCAGCAGUAGGGAAUCUUCCGCAAUGGGCGAAAGCCUGACGGAGCAACGCCGCGUGAGUGAUGAAGGUCUUCGGAUCGUAAAACUCUGUUACUAGGGAAGAACAUAUGUGUAAGUAACUGUGCACAUCUUGACGGUACCUAAUCAGAAAGCCACGGCUAACUACGUG
This 497-nucleotide ribosomal RNA is filed under the name uncultured bacterium. RNAcentral's name for it is "partial 16S ribosomal RNA". It matches the Rfam family "Bacterial small subunit ribosomal RNA", at positions 28 to 507 of the family's 1533-position model. The record is from RNAcentral.